UCAGGUAUAUAUGUUAUUGUUAAGGUCUUUGUGUAUAUGUCUUGUCCUUUUUUUGUCCUUAUUUUUUUUCCUUUAGGUUGUGCGACCCAGGACUUGGCCAUACCAGGUAUAUAUGUUAUUGUUAAGGUCUUUUGUGUAUAUGUCUUGUCCUUUUUUUUCCUUUAGGAUGUACGGCCCAGGACUUCGCCAUACCAGGUAUAUAUGUUAUUGUUAAGGUCUUUGUGUAAGUUUCAUGUCCUUUUUUUGCCCCUAUUUUUUUUCCUUUAGGUUGUACGGCCCAGGACUUGGCCAUACCAGGUAUAUAUGUUAUUGUUAAGGUCUUUGUGUACAUUUCUGUCCUUUUUUUGCCCCUAUUUUUUUUCCUUUAGGUUGUGCAGCCCAGGACUUGGCCAUACCAGGUAUAUAUGUUAUUGUUAAGGUCUUUGUGUAUGUGUCUCAUGUCUUUUUUUGCCCCUAUUUUUUUUCCUUUAGGUUGUGCGGCCCAGGACUUGGCCAUACCAGGUAUAUAUGUUAUUGUUAAGGUCUUUGUGUAGUGUCUGUCAUUUUUUUGCCCCUAUUUUUUUCCUUUAGGUUGUGCGGCCCAGGACUUGGCCAUACCAGGUAUAUAUGUUAUUGUUAAGGUCUUUGUGUAAGUUUCAUGUCCUUUUUUUGCCCCUAUUUUUUUCCUUUAGGUUGUACAGCCCAGGACUUGGCCAUACCAGGUAUAUAUGUUAUUGUUAAGGUCUUUGUGUAUCAUGUCUUGCCCCUUUUUUUUUCCCUUUAGGUUGUGCAGCCCAGGACUUGGCCAUACCAGGUAUAUAUGUUAUUGUUAAGGUCUUUGUGUAAUGUCUCAUGUCCUUUUUUUGCCCCUAUUUUUUUCCUUUAGGUUGUGCAGCCCAGGACUUGGCCAUACCAGGUAUAUAUGUUAUUGUUAAGGUCUUUGUGUAUUUCUGUCAUUUUUUUGCCCCUAUUUUUUUCCUUUAGGUUGUGCAGCCCAGGACUUGGCCAUACCAGGUAUAUAUGUUAUUGUUAAGGUCUUUGUGUUGUGUCUGUCUUUUUUUGCCCCUUAUUUUUUUUUCCUUUAGGUUGUGCGGCCCAGGACUUGGCCAUACCAGGUAUAUAUGUUAUUGUUAAGGUCUUUGUGUAAUGUCUGUCCUUUUUUUGCCCCUAUUUUUUUCCUUUAGGUUGUGCAGCCCAGGACUUGGCCAUACGAGGUAUAUAUGUUAUUGUUAAGGUCUUUGUGUGUGUUUCAUGUCUUUUAUUUGCCCCUUUUCUUUUCCUUUAGGUUGUGCAGCCCAGGACUUGGCCAUACCAGGUAUAUAUGUUAUUAUUAAGGUCUUUGUGUAAGUCUCAUGUCCUUUUUUUGCCCCUAUUUUUUUUCCUUUAGGUUGUGCAGCCCAGGACUUGGCCAUACCAGGUAUAUAUGUUAUUGUUAAGGUCUUUGUGUAUAUAUGUCUUGUCCUUUUUUGUCCUUAUUUUUUUUCCUUUAGGUUGUGCGACCCAGGACUUGGCCAUACCAGGUAUAUAUGUUAUUGUUAAGGUCUUUGUGUAUAUGUCUUGUCCUUUUUUUGUCCUUAUUUUUUUUCCUUUAGGUUGUGCGACCCAGGACUUGGCCAUACCAGGUAUAUAUGUUAUUGUUAAGGUCUUUUGUGUAUAUGUCUUGUCCUUUUUUUGUCCUUUUUUUUUCCUCUAGGUUGUUCGGCCCAGUACUUGGCCAUACCAGGUAUAUAUAUGUUAUUGUUAAGGUCUUUGUGUAUAUGUCUUGUCCUUUUUUUGUCCUUAUUUUUUUUCCUUUAGGUUGUGCGACCCAGGACUUGGCCAUACCAGGUAUAUAUGUUAUUGUUAAGGUCUUUGUGUAUAUGUU
This 1843-nucleotide long non-coding RNA is filed under the name Mytilus galloprovincialis (Mediterranean mussel). The record is from RNAcentral. Lineage: Eukaryota; Metazoa; Mollusca; Bivalvia; Mytilida; Mytilidae.